GUAAGCAUAGGUUAAUAUAAACCAUUAGGUUGUGAUCCUAAAAAUAGAGGUUAAACCCCUCUCGCUCACC
This 70-nucleotide transfer RNA is filed under the name Diogenichthys atlanticus (longfin lanternfish). RNAcentral's name for it is "tRNA-His". It matches the Rfam family "tRNA". Rfam says of the family: Transfer RNA (tRNA) molecules are approximately 80 nucleotides in length. Their secondary structure includes four short double-helical elements and three loops (D, anti-codon, and T loops). Lineage: Eukaryota; Metazoa; Chordata; Actinopteri; Myctophiformes; Myctophidae. The record is from RNAcentral.